RNAcentral lists this ribosomal RNA (253 nucleotides) under uncultured bacterium. Its description in RNAcentral is "partial 16S ribosomal RNA". It matches the Rfam family "Bacterial small subunit ribosomal RNA", at positions 524 to 776 of the family's 1533-position model. The record is from RNAcentral.
UACGAAGGGGGCUAGCGUUGUUCGGAUUUACUGGGCGUAAAGCGCACGUAGGCGGAUCUUUAAGUCAGGGGUGAAAUCCUGGAGCUCAACUCCAGAACUGCCUUUGAUACUGAGGAUCUUGAGUCCGGGAGAGGUGAGUGGAACUCCGAGUGUAGAGGUGAAAUUCGUAGAUAUUCGGAAGAACACCAGUGGCGAAGGCGGCUCACUGGCCCGGUACUGACGCUGAGGUGCGAAAGCGUGGGGAGCAAACAGG